GAGCCCGUGGCUCAAUGGUAGAGCGUUUGACUGGAAUUCCAAAGGUCGUGGGUUUG
Molecule: transfer RNA, 56 nt
Filed under: Schistocephalus solidus
Lineage: Eukaryota; Metazoa; Platyhelminthes; Cestoda; Diphyllobothriidea; Diphyllobothriidae
Rfam family: tRNA
About the family: Transfer RNA (tRNA) molecules are approximately 80 nucleotides in length. Their secondary structure includes four short double-helical elements and three loops (D, anti-codon, and T loops).
Source: Rfam by way of RNAcentral